UGGGGAAUAUUGGGCAAUGGGCGCAAGCCUGACCCAGCAACGCCGCGUGAGGGAAGAAGGCCUUCGGGUUGUAAACCUCUGUCCUUGGUGACGAAACAAAUGACGGUAGCCAAGGAGGAAGCCCCGGCUAACUACGUGUCAGCAGCCGCGGUAAUACGUAGGGGGCGAGCGUUGUCCGGAAUUACUGGGCGUAAAGGGUGCAUAGGUGGCCUUUUAAGUUGGAUGUGAAAUACCCGGGCUUAACUUGGGGGGUGCAUCUAAUACUGGGAGGCUAGAGUGCAGGAGAGGGAAGCGGAAUUCCUAGUGUAGCGGUGAAAUGCGUAGAUAUUAGGAGGAACACCAGUGGCGAAGGCGGCUUUCUGGACUGUAACUGACACUGAGGCACGAAAGCGUGGGGAGCAAACAG
This 406-nucleotide ribosomal RNA is filed under the name uncultured bacterium. RNAcentral describes it as "bacterial SSU rRNA". It matches the Rfam family "Bacterial small subunit ribosomal RNA", at positions 355 to 775 of the family's 1533-position model. The record is from RNAcentral.